UACGUAGGGUGCGAGCGUUAAUCGGAAUUACUGGGCGUAAAGCGUGCGCAGGCGGUUUGUUAAGUCCAUUGUGAAAUCCCCGGGCUCAACCUGGGAAUGGCGGUGGAAGCUGGCGAGCUAGAGUGUGUCAGAGGGGGGUGGAAUUCCACGUGUAGCAGUGAAAUGCGUAGAGAUGUGGAGGAACACCAAUGGCGAAGGCAGCCCCCUGGGAUAACACUGACGCUCAGGCACGAAAGCGUGGGGAGCAAACAGG
This 253-nucleotide ribosomal RNA is filed under the name uncultured bacterium. Its description in RNAcentral is "partial 16S ribosomal RNA". It matches the Rfam family "Bacterial small subunit ribosomal RNA", at positions 524 to 776 of the family's 1533-position model. The record is from RNAcentral.